Molecule: long non-coding RNA, 1155 nt
Filed under: Homo sapiens (human)
Lineage: Eukaryota; Metazoa; Chordata; Mammalia; Primates; Hominidae
Description: PREDICTED lncRNA (TCONS_00151091)
Source: RNAcentral
AGGUGGUAAAUCCUGGCCAAGGCUCCUCGAGCCAGGCCGGCUGGCAGUGCUGCAUCGUGCUGAAGGCGCUGAGGUUGCAGCGGAUGCAUUCCGGGCCAGUGAUAUGAUGUGGACAGGAAAAGUCUUUUGUUCUGGGAAAAUGGAGGACUGAAACCUCUUCAUGUCUUUUUCCCAGGCCCUGAUUUAGGAAGACCAAAACAGGGACUUCUACAGUAGCAGCUUAAUCAGCAGAUGCUGGGUGGUCGCCUCUGCACAUGGCCUGGGGGGCGGGGCGCCUUACCGCGUCACACUGGGUGGAUGGGCCUGUGUGUGGCCUCUCUCCAGCUGUGGCUGACAGUACUCACUCAGCCCAGGCUUCCAGGCCCUCCUGGGCCCUCCUAUCCACUGAAGGAAAUGGGAGAUGAGUGGGUAAUGGAAAAGCCUUUGGAGUCAGAUGUAAAUCCAUGACUUGACCACUUAUUGCUGUGAGACCCUGGACAGCUGGAUAUAGAGUUCUUGUUCUAGCAUCCGCCCUGGGAAUCCCCGGAACUGGGCCUCUUACCGACACCAUUGCCUGUAAUCCACAAACCUAGGAGUUACUCCAGUUACUGUCCUACUGAAGGACCCCCAUCCCAUCUGGGCUACUAUAACCACAUGGACCAUCCCUUGCUUCAAUCAUAGAAUUCUUUCUUCAGAUCAAAGUAUAUUCAGACACUCGAUACAGUAACAAAAGCAAGCUAUCCUGGAAGGAAGAAGGAAUCAGGAGGCAGAGCACAUGGUUAAAGCAUGAGAUGUGAAACCAGGAAGAACCAGGUCUGAACCUUAGCUCCACCAGUGGUAGCUUCAAACCUUGGUCCUUUCUGAGCCUGCUUCUUCAACCGUAAGGAACUCGGAAACGGGACCCAGAAAGUUGUUUUCUCAAGUGGAUGGAACAACACAAGCAAUCAUUCUCUGCAUCUUAAUUCCCUCAUCUGUAAAAUGGAAAUAAUACACCUACCUUCUCAGUUUACUGUGAGGAAAAAACGAAUCAAUACAUAUAUAAAGCACCUGGCACAGUGCGUGGCAUAGGAGGUUUCCUUGGGAAUUCCUUCAGAAGUUAAAUAGCUUACCCAAGGUGUCACAACUACGUAAGGUGGCCCAGCUCAAGAUUCAAAUGCAAGUUCAUAUGAUUCUGAA